Molecule: ribosomal RNA, 628 nt
Filed under: Bacillus sp. JC28
Lineage: Bacteria; Bacillati; Bacillota; Bacilli; Caryophanales; Bacillaceae
Description: bacterial SSU rRNA
Rfam family: Bacterial small subunit ribosomal RNA
Source: RNAcentral
CUUGCUCCCUUAGGUUAGCGGCGGACGGGUGAGUAACACGUGGGUAACCUGCCUGUAAGACUGGGAUAACUCCGGGAAACCGGGGCUAAUACCGGAUGCUUGAUUGAACCGCAUGGUUCAAUUAUAAAAGGUGGCUUUUAGCUACCACUUACAGAUGGACCCGCGGCGCAUUAGCUAGUUGGUGAGGUAACGGCUCACCAAGGCGACGAUGCGUAGCCGACCUGAGAGGGUGAUCGGCCACACUGGGACUGAGACACGGCCCAGACUCCUACGGGAGGCAGCAGUAGGGAAUCUUCCGCAAUGGACGAAAGUCUGACGGAGCAACGCCGCGUGAGUGAUGAAGGUUUUCGGAUCGUAAAACUCUGUUGUUAGGGAAGAACAAGUACCGUUCGAACAGGGCGGUACCUUGACGGUACCUAACCAGAAAGCCACGGCUAACUACGUGCCAGCAGCCGCGGUAAUACGUAGGUGGCAAGCGUUGUCCGGAAUUAUUGGGCGUAAAGCGCGCGCAGGCGGUUUCUUAAGUCUGAUGUGAAAGCCCCCGGCUCAACCGGGGAGGGUCAUUGGAAACUGGGGAACUUGAGUGCAGAAGAGGAGAGUGGAAUUCCACGUGUAGCGGUGAAAUGCG